This 532-nucleotide ribosomal RNA is filed under the name uncultured organism. Its description in RNAcentral is "bacterial SSU rRNA". It matches the Rfam family "Bacterial small subunit ribosomal RNA", at positions 35 to 615 of the family's 1533-position model. The record is from RNAcentral.
GCUUGCGGUGUGUUAAUACAUGCAAGUCGAUGCGCACUUUAUGUGAGCGGCGGACGAGCGAGUAACACGUUGGAACCUGCCCCAAACUCAGGGAUAACAUCUAGAAAUAGGUGCUAAUAGCGGAUAGUCCCGCAAGGGUAAAGAUUUUUCGGUUUGGGAGGGGCCUGCGUACUAUCAGCUAGUUGGUAAGGUAAUGGCUUACCAAGGCUAUGACGGUUAACUGGUCUGAGAGGAUGAUCAGUCGCGAUGGGACUGAGACACGGCCCAUACUCCUACGGGAGGCAGCAGUAAGGAAUCUUCCACAAUGGACGAAAGUCUGAUGGAGCAACACCGCGUGAUCGAUGAAGCCUUUAGGGGUGUAAAGAUCUUUUCUGAGAGAAGAACUCUGACGGUAUCUUAGGAAUAAGCACCGGCUAACUCCGUGCCAGCAGCCGCGGUAAUACGGAGGGUGCAAGCGUUACCCGGAAUCAUUGGGCGUAAAGCGUCCGCAGGCGGUUUGUUAAGUAAGAUGUUAAAUUUUCCAGCUCAACUG